GCGGGAGCGGGAGCUGUGGGCACUUUCCACGGGUGAGGCCUGGAGAACGGGUGGACGUGCAGGCUAGAACCCGGGACCUGCCUGGCUGCGCCCCCAGACUCUCCGCUUCCCACGAGCCUCGGAGUGGCACCCUCUCCUGGCCGUCUUCUCUCGUGGGGCCCGAAGAACGGGUGCAAAGCCGAGUUCGUCCACUGUACUGCGCGGGCGCGCGUUUCGUUCUUCGGGUUUGCCGCGGUUCUGUGACUCCCUAAAGGUUGAGGGCUACUGAAUAGGAGAAACGCCGAGCUGGCUUCUGGUGGGCUGCCGGGCGCUGGGCAGCGUGCUUGGGCUGGGCAGGGCAGGGCGUGUUUACUCUGAGUAGAGCAACCGCAAGACCUUUAAAAAUACCAGUUCUGAGCUUCGGCGUUGGAGAGGCCGCCUGUCAUUCAGCCUCUUAAGACCCUCUCUCACUCCCUGUCUUCCGGAGCGUGAGUGAAGCCCGGGUGAGGUGUUUUCCCACACGCCGGGGGCCCGGAGCUGAGAAGGGGCAUGGCCAGCAUCACGCAGCUGUUCGACGACCUGUGUGAGGCCCUCCUGCCGGCUGCCAAGACUCACCUGGGCCAGCGCAGUGUGAACCGGAAGAGGGCAAAGCGGAGCCUCAAGAAGGUGGCCUACAACGCUCUUUUCACAAAUCUUUUUCAAGAUGAGACUCAACAGCUGCAGCCUGACAUGUCAAAACUACCAGCGAGAAACAAGAUCCUCAUGUUGUCCUUUGACUUGAGAGUGGGUGGCCUGGGCCCCAAGGCCGACCGUUUGGAGGAGCUUGUGGAGGAGCUUGAAGCAGCCCCUUGCUGUCCGCUUUUGGAGGUGGGGUCUGUUUUGGACCUCCUGGUUCAGCUGGCAGGGAGUGGUCCCCCUCAAGUUCUGCCGAGAAAACGAGACUACUUCCUUAACAACAAGCAUGUGGGGAGAAACGUUCCGUACAGCGGCUAUGAUUGCGACGACCUGAGUGUGUUUGAGAUGGACGUUCAGUCUCUGAUCUCCAGAGAAGAGUGUUUGUGUCACAGCAUGAUCCAGGAAACACUUCAGGUUAUGGAGGCUCCUCCAGGCACUGGCCUGCCCACCGUCGGGCUCUUCUCAUUUGGUGACCCUUGUGGUGACAGGUUCGAGAGAGACACCCGGGUCUCGCUCUUCGGAGCCCUUGUGCACAGCCGCACUUAUGACAUGGACGUCCGACUGGGCCUGCCCCCCGUGCCAGACAAUGCGGACCUCUCUGGGCUGGCCAUUAAGGUCCCACCGAGUGUGGAUCAGUGGGAAGACGAAGGAUUCCAGUCAGCGUCCAACUUGACUCCUGAUUCCCAGUCUGAGCCCAGCGUGACCCCAGACGUGGACCUGUGGGAAGCCGCACUCACCUAUGAGGCCAGCAAGCGGAGGUGCUGGGAGCGAGUCGGCUGCCCCCCUGGCCACAGAGAGGGGCCUCACCUGACGGAGGCGGGAAGGGACGCUUUCGACAAGUUCUGCAGGCUCCGCCAAGGGGAGCUCCAGCUGCUUGCCGGGGGCGUCCUACAGGCCCCGCAGCCCAUGCUGGUGAAGGAGUGCGAGCUGGUGAAAGAUGUGCUGAACGUCUUAAUUGGGGUCGUGUCUGCCACGUUUUCCCUCUGCCAGCCGGCCCAGGCCUUUGUGGUGAAGCGGGGCGUCCACGUGUCAGGAGCGUCUCCCGAGAGCAUCAGCAGCCUGCUCUCGGAAGUGGCCGAGUAUGGGACCUGCUACACGCGCCUGAGUCACUUCUCUCUGCAGCCCGUCCUGGACUCUUUGUACAGCAAGGGCCUCGUGUUCCAGGCCUUCACCAGUGGCCUGAGGAGGUACCUGCAGUAUUACCGGGCCUGUGUCCUUUCCACUCCGCCAACCCUGAGCCUCCUCACCAUUGGUUUUCUCUUCAAGAAACUUGGCCGGCAGCUCAGGUACCUGGCCGAGCUCUGUGGCGUUGGCGCUGUGCUCCCGGGCACCUGUGGAGGAGGCCCCAGGGCCGCGUUUCCCACCGGCGUGAAGCUGCUGUCCUACCUCUACCAGGAGGCGCUGCACAACUGCAGCAACGAGCACUACCCUGUGCUGCUGUCCCUGCUGAAGACCAGCUGCGAGCCCUACACCCGGUUCAUUCAUGACUGGGUGUACAGCGGGGUGUUCAGAGACGCUUAUGGCGAGUUCAUGAUUCAGGUGAACCACGAGUACCUCAGCUUCCGAGAUAAGUUGUACUGGACACAUGGCUAUGUGCUCAUCUCCAAAGAGGUGGAGGACUGUGUUCCCGUGUUUCUGAAGCACAUUGCCCACGACAUAUACGUCUGCGGGAAGACCAUUAACCUGCUGAAGCUCUGCUGCCCCCGGCAUUACCUCUGUUGGUCCGACGUCCCCGUCCCCCGGAUCUCGGUGAUUUUCUCCCUUGAGGAGUUGAAGGAGAUUGAGAAGGACUGUGCCGUCUACGUUGGGCGCAUGGAGAGGGUGGCCCGCCACAGCUCUGUCAGCAAGGAGGAGAAGGAGUUACGUAUGGAAAUUGCAAAACAAGAAUUAAUCGCUCAUGCCCGGGAAGCAGCAUCCAGGGUCCUGAGUGCACUGAGUGACCGGCAGAUGUCAGAACGGAUGGCCUUGGACGCCCGGAAGCGUGAGCAGUUUCAGAGGCUGAAAGAACAGUUUGUGAAGGACCAGGAGGUGGGUAGGACCUGUCCCUGCGGGGUCAGGCCUGUCAGUCCUGAUUUCACAGGACAGGCUCUGUGUGUUUUAUAGCGACGCCAGGCGGCCAGGCAGGAGGAGCUGGAUGAUGACUUCAGCUACGCCCGUGAGCUCCGAGACAGGGAGAGAAGGCUGAAGUCCCUGGAGGAGGAGCUGGAGAGGAAGGCGAGGCAGGCUCUGGUCGACCACUACAGCAAGCUCUCUGCAGAGGCAGCUCGUCGGGAGCAGAAGGCGCUGUGGAGAAUCCAGAGGCACCGACUGGAGAGUGCACGGCUUCGUUUUCUCUUAGAAGAUGAGAAACACAUUCAGGAGAUGCUGAAAGCAGUGUCUGAGGCUCACCAGCCCCAGGAGCCGCCAGAUGUCCUGUUAAGCGUGCACCCCCAGGUCACAUCUCCUGGCCCUGAGCACCCAGAGGGAGGCCAAGGCUGUGAUUCUGGGUCUGCGGAGCAACACUCGGCUGCCUGGGAUGGCCGGAACAGGCCAGGCCUGCUGACCCCACAGCCCCUUAAGCCUCUAGCAGUGGGGGCUGGUGGCACGGGGCUGCAGCAGGCGGAGGAGGCCAGACCCUUCUCUGACAGCCUCAGCAUUGGAGACUUCCUACCUGUGGGCCCAGGGGCUGAGCCAUCCAUGCAGACUGGCAUGGUCCCUCUCCUGGAGGUGGCGCUGCAGACCAUUAACUUGGACCUGCCCCCCUCAGCUCCUGGGGAGGCACCCGCAGUAGCCAGCACUCAGCCCUCCAGGCCACAGGAGUACGACUUUAGUACUGUCCUGAGGCCAGCUGUGGCCACCUCACCUGCACCAGGGCCCCUGCAGGCUGCAGAGUGCAGCUUGGGCAGCUCAGGGCUACAGCUGUGGGAGGACAGCUGUGGGAAGCUGGAUGCCUGUGGCUCCACCUUGCGGGAGACUCUGCCCCCUUCAUACCCACCCAGGCGUGCUGCUCUGGAGGAGGGGAGCAGCCAGCCCACAGAGCAGCUCUGUGGGCAGGCCCUGGGAGGAGCGGGGACACUGAAGACCUCUCUCCAAGUUGGCCUCUGAACUCACAGGAAGACACAGCUGCCCACAGCAGCCCAGGACCUGGUGAGGAGGAGGAGGAGGCAGGGGCGGCGGAGGCCCAGGGCAGGGAGCAGGCCUACCUGGCAGGCCUGGCAGGGCAGUACCAUUUGGAGCGGUACCCGGACAGUUACGAGUCCAUGUGUGAGUGCAGCAGCUGCUGCUGGCAGGGAGCCGUGGGCUGGCCGGUCCCCAGCACAUGCUCCAUCUCCUGUGGGUGGGGGCGGAGCCCUGGGCAGGCGGGUUCCCAGCACAUGCUCCAUCUCCUGUGGGCGGGGGCGGAGCCCUGGGCCGGCCAGUUCCCGGCACGUGUGUGCUCCAUCUCCCGCAGCCGAGCCACCCAUCGCCCACCUUUUGCGCCCUGUGCUUCCCCGGGCCUUCGCCUUCCCCGUGGACACCCAGGUCCAGUCUGCCACUGAUGAGACUGCCGUGCAGCUGAGCGAGUUGCUGACGCUGCCCGUGCUCAUGAAGCGCUCCAUCACAGCACCAUUGGCUGCCCAGUGAGUGCCCCUGCCCCAGUCUGCCCACCCAUCCCGUCCUGGCCCGCCCUGACUCCAGCUCCCUCCUGCCAGCAUCUCCUUGGUGAACAAGGCCGCUGUCGACUACUUCUUCGUGGAGCUGCACCUGGAGGCGCACUACGAGGCACUGCGGCACUUCCUGCUGAUGGAGGAUGGCGAGUUCGCCCAGUCCCUCAGCGACCUGCUCUUUGAGAAGCUUGGAGCUGGGCAAACGCCCGGAGAGCUGCUCAACCCGCUGGUGCUGAACUCUGUGCUGAGCAAGGCCCUGCAGUGCAGCCUGCAUGGGGACACCGCGCACGCCUCCAACCUCUCUCUCGCUCUCAAGUACCUGCCCGAGGUGUUUGCCCCCAACGCCCCGGAUGUGCUGAGCUGCCUAGAGCUCAGGUACAAGGUCAGCAGCAGCCCUGGUCACGGAGGAUGGGACAGGGGCCUGCCUGUGGGAUGCCUGCUGAGCCACACCUCCCGGCAGGUGGACUGGCCCCUCAACAUUGUCAUCACCGAGGGCUGCCUGAGCAAGUACAGCGGCGUCUUCUCCUUCCUGCUGCAGCUGAAGCUCAUGAUGUGGGCGCUCAAGGACGUCUGCUUCCACCUCAAGCGCACAGGUGAGGCCCCGCCGGAGCCCGGCGCCCCGUACCCCUGACUUGAGGCUGUGCUCACCUCUGCCCUCUGCCCUCUGCCAGCCCUGCUGAGCCACAUGGCCAGCUCCGUGCAGUUCCGCCAGCUGCAGCUGUUCAAGCACGAGAUGCAGCACUUCGUGAAGGUCAUCCAGGGCUACAUCGCCAACCAGAUCCUGCACGUCACCUGGUGCGAGUUCAGGGCCAGGCUGGCCACCGUGGGUGACCUGGAGGAGAUCCAGCGUGCGCAUGCAGAGUACCUGCACAAGGCCGUCUUCAGGUGAGGCCUGGGCAGCGGCUGCGUCCCUGUGGUCACAGCUCAGCCCACCCAGCAGUACUGCUUCCCCCCAGGGGCCUGCUCACGGAGAAGGCGGCGCCUGUCAUGAACAUCAUCCACAGCAUCUUCAGCCUGGUACUCAAGUUCCGCAGCCAGCUCAUCUCCCAGGCCUGGGGGCCCGCUGGGGGCCCGCGGGGUGCAGAGCACCCCAACUUUGCACUCAUGCAGCAGUCCUACAACACCUUCAAGUACUACUCCCACUUUCUCUUCAAAGUGGUGACCAAGCUGGUGAACCGGGGCUACCAGCCCCACCUGGAGGACUUUCUGCUGCGCAUUAACUUCAACAACUACUACCAGGACGCCUGAGGCUGCUCUUCGGGGGACAUGCACAAUAAAGUGUCCUUGGACCCUG
RNAcentral lists this small RNA (5574 nucleotides) under Pongo abelii (Sumatran orangutan). RNAcentral's name for it is "retained intron". Lineage: Eukaryota; Metazoa; Chordata; Mammalia; Primates; Hominidae. The record is from RNAcentral.